UCAAGUCGGAUGUGAAAUCCCCGGGCUCAACCUGGGAACUGCAUUCGAAACUGGCAGGCUAGAGUCUUGUAGAGGGGGGUAGAAUUCCAGGUGUAGCGGUGAAAUGCGUAGAGAUCUGGAGGAAUACCGGUGGCGAAGGCGGCCCCCUGGACAAAGACUGACGCUCAGGUGCGAAAGCGUGGGGAGCAAACAGGAUUAGAUACCCUGGUAGUCCACGCCGUAAACGAUGUCGAUUUGGAGGUUGUGCCCUUGAGGCGUGGCUUCCGGAGCUAACGCGUUAAAUCGACCGCCUGGGGAGUACGGCCGCAAGGUUAAAACUCAAAUGAAUUGACGGGGGCCCGCACAAGCGGUGGAGCAUGUGGUUUAAUUCGAUGCAACGCGAAGAACCUUACCUG
Molecule: ribosomal RNA, 395 nt
Filed under: Klebsiella pneumoniae
Lineage: Bacteria; Pseudomonadati; Pseudomonadota; Gammaproteobacteria; Enterobacterales; Enterobacteriaceae
Also listed under: 1 other name
Description: bacterial SSU rRNA
Rfam family: Bacterial small subunit ribosomal RNA
Source: RNAcentral